UACGUAGGCAGCGAGCGUUGUUCGGAGUUACUGGGCGUAAAGGGUGUGUAGGCGGUUGUUCAAGUUUGGUGUGAAAUCUCCCGGCUCAACUGGGAGGGUGCGCCGAAUACUGAAUGACUAGAGUGCGGGAGAGGUGAGUGGAAUUCCUGGUGUAGCGGUGAAAUGCGUAGAUAUCAGGAGGAACACCGGUGGUGUAGACGGCUCACUGGACCGUAACUGACGCUGAGACACGAAAGCGUGGGUAGCAAACAGG
Molecule: ribosomal RNA, 253 nt
Filed under: uncultured bacterium
Lineage: Bacteria
Description: partial 16S ribosomal RNA
Rfam family: Bacterial small subunit ribosomal RNA
Source: RNAcentral